This is a long non-coding RNA of Bubalus bubalis (water buffalo), 1937 nucleotides long. RefSeq lists it as uncharacterized. The record is from RefSeq and is a predicted model, not a curated record. The transcript has 2 exons. NCBI's taxonomy places the organism in Eukaryota, Metazoa, Chordata, Mammalia, Artiodactyla, Bovidae.
GAAAACUGCUGGGAAUUCUUUCAGCCUCUCUGCCACAAACAACUACCAUUGUCCCAGGCCGAAGGCAAGCGAGAUUUCCUCCUUUUCCAGGAGCACACCCAGGGCGGGCUACCCCUAGCCAGGCCCGGAGCCACCGAAAUAGAAGAGUAGGCUAUGAAGAGACCAUGAAAUGAGGAACGAGAACUCGUUCUCAUGAAGGUACAAGCUGACUCCCGGGGCUCGCCAGGGCACCGCAGUGCGACAGGAGACCAACUGUGUCGCGUUCUUGGGGUGGAUUCUCCUGAGAACCUCCCAAGUGCGGCAGCGGCCUCCUCUGUUUCCAGUUCCCGUUUGAAGACAGGGCGGAGUCCUCCUAACUUCUGUGACCGCAUCCUCGCCUGCUGGACCUCUGCCAAUACUGGAUAUUGAUCGUGUGUAAGAUCACUGCCCUACAAGAGUUCACAAUGUUUAAGAAUUCUUGCCAGAGCUUCUCCUAAAAAAAUUUCACAGAGAAAUCGUGAAAUGUUACACCACGUGAUAUAGCACUUCUUUGUCAGAAAAUGUCUCACUGUAGCUUCUGUUUAAGGAAAGCAUCUGCACCCACCCAGUUGUGCCCAGUUUGGUCCCAGUGAACCGUGUCUUUGUAACGUGCUUCUGGGCAAUUUCCUUUCGAGCCGCUCUCCCAGAUCAUGCACCUGCGAGCCUGAUCUGCACCCUGUUUGUCAGAGAAGAUUUGAGUUUCCCUCUUACUCUGGGAGACGUUUCUGCCUCCGAGCGCCUUGUUCGCAUCUGUGACGGGUCUGCCUACAACCCGGCAACGAGCGACACCAACACGACGUGUGGGGGUUGCCCCCUUUGUUGUCCGAGAACAGCGGUGUGAUCCGCCGUCUGGGCGAGAACAGACCAGAAGCGCCCAAUCAGGGCAGCCUGGGUCAGCCGGACCCUGCCCCGCAUGCAGGUGCUGGGCAGACGGCGCCUGUCUUCCCAACACUCAGUUCUCUACGCGUGUGUCCCCCUCCGCGUCCUCGGGAACUCACUGCUCCCCAUCCUGGCUGGCUUGUAGAGAGACUAGAGGCAGGAUGUUAGGAAGCUCAAGGCCUGGCCUCGUGAGGGUCCUCGUGACGUAUGGACAGUGGAGGAAGGGACGACACGGUUCCUAAUUCCUGUGACUGCCUGCUCUCAGCCAGCCUUCCCUGCCCCGCUCUGCCCCGGGCGGGUGACCUGCCCCGUGUGAACUGCAGGCGGCACAGGCUGGAGGGUGGGGGGCAGAGAGAGGGUGGGGUCUCUCUCCCCCCUGCUCCCCAACUUCCUGCCGCCUGGCAGUGGCUUUAUCCUCUGGACUCAGCUCUUGCCGAGGGGCACUCGGGACAGCCGCCCUCUCGUGGUCCAACAUCACUGGUCCGUGCCCUCCAGUCUGGGUCCAACAGGUGGUACCGCUCCCCUUGUUGCUUAGUUUCGAGCGGUCCAGAAGCGCCAUACCCCACCCCGCCCUAUAUAUUGAGAUACAUGUUGAGAUACAGUCCGCAUGCCGUAGGGCUCGCGCGCGUGCGCCAUGCGGUGGUUAGGGCUCCAUCCGCAGACUCACGCAGCUGUCGCCACCAGCAAUCUUAGAUCGCUGUCCGCAGCCCAGGAGAAGCCCCACGCCAUCCACGGCCACCCCUGCCCCAUGCCUCUGGCCCAAGGGAAGCACUGCGCCCCUCUCCUUCUGGACGUUUCGCACGAAGGGGCUCCUCCCCCAUCUCCCCUCCCUGCGUGUUCGGUGGCCCUGCCCACGCCUGUGUAAACAGUGCCUCCAUAGAACUCUCCUCGGCUGAACCCUUAGCGGCGUGCCACCCUUUUGGCCGGGAGCCCACUGGCUUAGAGUUGCAUGCCAAUCUGGUGUGAAAAAAAGAAAGAGCAAUUGAUUUCCCAGCUCUGGGCAUCAGGUGGGUGACGCCCUUAAUAAAGAAGUGGAAGCA